CGGUAAUUCCAGCUCCAAUAGCGUAUACUAAAGUUGUUGCAGUUAAAAAGCUCGUAGUUGGAUUUCUGCGGGGACGGAGCGGCCGGACGCAACUUGCGUCUCGAGCUAGCGCUUUCCCCACAUCCUGCCGCGAACCGUGCUACCAUUAGCUUGGUGGCGCUGGGGAUCGGCUCGAUUACUUUGAGAAAAAUAGAGUGUUCAAAGCAGGCCACACGCCUUGAAUAAGUUAGCAUGGAAUAAUGAUUAAGGACUUCGGUUCUAUUUUAUUGGUGUUCGGGACUGAAGUAAUGAUUGAUAGGGACAGUUGGGGCGGUCUGUAUUCCAAAGCGAGAGGUGAAAUUCUUAGACCUUCGGAAGACAAACAGCUGCGAAAGCGUUCCGCAAGGAUGUUCCCUUUGAUCAAGAACGAAAGUUGGGGGAUCGAAGACGAUCAGAUACCGUCGUAGUCUCAACUAUAAACUAUACCAGCUAGGGAUCGGCCAACGUUUAACUUUAUCGACUUGGUCGGCACCUUAUGAGAAAUCAAAGCAUCUGGGUUCCGGGGGGAGUAUGGUCGCAAGGCUGAAACUUAAAGGAAUUGACGGAAGGGCACCACCAGGCGUGGAGCCUGUGGCUUAAUUUGACUCAACACGGGAAAACUUACCAGGUCCAGACAUAGGAAGGAUUGACAGAUUGAUAGCUCUUUCUUGAUUCUGUGGGUGGUGGUGCAUGGCCGUUUUUAGUCGGUGAAGUGAUUUGUCUGCUUAAUUGCGUUAACGGACGAGACCCCAGCCUGCUAAAUAGCGCGGCCGAGCUUUGCUCGGUGCGAGCUUCUUAGAGGGACCAUGAUGCGCGAUAGCACAAGGAAGUUUGGGGCAACAACAGGUCUGUGAUGCCCUUAGAUGUUCUGGGCCGCACACGGGCUACACUGGCGCCUGCAACGAGCAUAUCAGCUGGCCCGAGAGGGUCUUGGCUAAUCUUUGGAACCGGCGCCGUGCUUGGGAUUGACCAUUGCAAUUGUUGGUCAUGCAACGAGGAAUGCCUUGUAAACGCGAGUCAUCAGCUCGCAUUGAAUACGUCCCUGCCCUUUGUACACACCGCCCGUCGCUCCUACCGAUGAAUGUUCCGAUGAAAUUUUCGGAGAGCGCCAGAGAACGGGGCUCUGCCUUGCAGAUCUGGAGGCUCAAAGUCACUUAAAUCUGAACAUUUCGAGGAAGGAGAAGUCGUAAAGGGGUAACC
RNAcentral lists this ribosomal RNA (1218 nucleotides) under uncultured Rhizaria. RNAcentral describes it as "SSU rRNA". It matches the Rfam family "Eukaryotic small subunit ribosomal RNA", at positions 577 to 1804 of the family's 1831-position model. The record is from RNAcentral.